Molecule: ribosomal RNA, 493 nt
Filed under: uncultured bacterium
Lineage: Bacteria
Description: partial 16S ribosomal RNA
Rfam family: Bacterial small subunit ribosomal RNA
Source: RNAcentral
GAGUGAACGCUGGCGGUAGGCCUACCACAUGCAAGUCGAACGGCAGCACAGUAAGAGCUUGCUCUUACGGGUGGCGAGUGGCGGACGGGUGAGGAAUACAUCGGAAUCUACUUUUUCGUGGGGGAUAACGUAGGGAAACUUACGCUAAUACCGCAUACGACCUACGGGUGAAAGCAGGGGAUCUUCGGACCUUGCGCGAUUGAAUGAGCCGAUGUCGGAUUAGCUAGUUGGCGGGGUAAUGGCCCACCAAGGCGACGAUCCGUAGCUGGUCUGAGAGGAUGAUCAGCCACACUGGAACUGAGACACGGUCCAGACUCCUACGGGAGGCAGCAGUGGGGAAUAUUGGACAAUGGGCGCAAGCCUGAUCCAGCCAUACCGCGUGGGUGAAGAAGGCCUUCGGGUUGUAAAGCCCUUUUGUUGGGAAAGAAAAGCAGCAGGUUAAUACCCCGCUGUUCUGACGGUACCCAAAGAAUAAGCACCGGCUAACUUCGUG